GUGUAAAAGCAUCUUGAAGACCAGGAUAUGGCUUUUAUGUAUUCUCUACACUUUUUUGAGGCAAAUUCCAUAACUCUAGUUGAUUGAACUAGGUAAUUUGGAAAUUUUACUCUAAUUCAGUGACAUUUGGAAAGUAACAAUCCAAACUUUCAAUUUGUUUCUAGACGUUGAACCCUUUCUUACAGGAUUCUUACACAGUUCGAGGCAGGGGCCCAAGCAAAGCGAAGAUACGACAAACCGCUAUCGAGCAGACUCACCAGAGACAAGCCGUGCUGUUACAGCGGCAGUGUAGGGGAGAGGCUGUCACGAAUGCCUCUCCACCUCAUCCUUCUCACCCAGUGCUGCACUCAGCCCCCGAUAUGACCAGGAAUGGAGGCAAUUGGGACAGGGGCUGAUGGAAAGCCUCUGUCCCAACACCUCAUCCAUGUAGACAAAUGACUGGCCAAUUUGCUUACAGUAUUCCCACUCACACCCUCUCCUGACCCUGUCAGACCAGAGGAUGAAGUUGUAGUAGCGCAUGCACAUACUUUAUAUCUCUUAAGAUAUAUGCUUAUUAAGGUUAUCCCAUUUCUUCAGGAUAGUCCAAAUCACAUUGGGAGGAUGAAGAAAAGCGCAAUCAAAAUUGUUAACACAAGGAAGUUUUGAAGAUGGAAUGAUUCAAAAGAUAAAAAUGCUCCAUUGUGGGUUUUUUUUCUUUUUAAAUUGAGAGGUGCGUCUUGCCUCUCUGUAACAUCAAUGCUGCACAGGACAAUAAUCAGUAAAUCAGAUUGGUAUAGGAUAAGAGCUAGUUCAAAUGUAAACUCAAGUAACAGGGUGAAAUGUAGAUUUACAUAUGAAGAGGCCAUCGUUCUCCACCCUCAGCUUAAUAAAAAGAGCGGUUUGCUCCUGGCUCUCUAUAACAAAACAAAAUGUUAAUUAAGUUUCUUGUAACACCAUUAACAUCUAUUUAGCCGGCAUUGAAUCAGUCAGUUCAUUUGUGAAAUGUUAUCAAUGUUACUUGACAUGUGCUAUUUCAAGAUUAUAGCCUGUUUAGAUGAGCUCACUUCGGUCUGUCCACAAUAAACAGUUUAAACUAUCUACACAACCAUCAGAGUCUUUGUAACACACGAGUCGACGUUUAACAAAGUUUGAAAGUGACAGAUUAUUUUUCUCACCGCUCACAACGGUCUGAAGUGCUUUGGGUCCCGUUACGUCAGUUUGUCGGUUAAUAACGUCAUACUAACUACAACUACCAAGUGAUGUUGUAAGGCGGGUGUCAAACUCAUCUUAGGUUUUGGCCAGAUACUGCCUUACCCAUAAAAAUCAUAGGGGGUGCCGGUCAACGGGGGGCU
Gasterosteus aculeatus aculeatus (three-spined stickleback) is the source of this 1331-nucleotide long non-coding RNA. The record is from Ensembl. NCBI's taxonomy places the organism in Eukaryota, Metazoa, Chordata, Actinopteri, Perciformes, Gasterosteidae.